RNAcentral lists this ribosomal RNA (484 nucleotides) under uncultured bacterium. RNAcentral describes it as "partial 16S ribosomal RNA". It matches the Rfam family "Bacterial small subunit ribosomal RNA", at positions 30 to 507 of the family's 1533-position model. The record is from RNAcentral.
AUUGAACGCUGGCGGAAUGCUUUACACAUGCAAGUCGAACGGCAGCACGGGGGCAACCCUGGUGGCGAGUGGCGAACGGGUGAGUAAUACAUCGGAACGUGCCCGGUCGUGGGGGAUAACGUAGCGAAAGUUACGCUAAUACCGCAUACGAUCUGAGGAUGAAAGCGGGGGACCUUCGGGCCUCGCGCGAUCGGAGCGGCCGAUGUCAGAUUAGGUAGUUGGUGGGAUAAAGGCCUACCAAGCCGACGAUCUGUAGCUGGUCUGAGAGGACGACCAGCCACACUGGGACUGAGACACGGCCCAGACUCCUACGGGAGGCAGCAGUGGGGAAUUUUGGACAAUGGGCGCAAGCCUGAUCCAGCCAUUCCGCGUGCAUGACGAAGGCCUUCGGGUUGUAAACUGCUUUUGUAUGGAACGAAAAGGCUCUGGCUAAUACCUGGGGCUCAUGACGGUACCGUAAGAAUAAGCACCGGCUAACUACGUG